UCGAGAAUUUUUCUCAAUGGGCGAAAGCCUGAAGGAGCGACGCCGCGUGGGGGAUGAAGGGCUUCGGCUCGUAAACCCCUGUCAUUUGCGAACAAACCUUACGAUUUAACAGAUCGUGAGCUGAUUGUAGCGAAAGAGGAAGGGACGGCUAACUCUGUGCCAGCAGCCGCGGUAAUACAGAGGUCCCAAGCGUUGUUCGGAUUCACUGGGCGUAAAGGGUGCGUAGGUGGCAGGGUAAGUUUGAUGUGAAAUCUCCGGGCUUAACCCGGAAACUGCAUUGAAUACUAUUCUGCUCGAGGGUUGGAGGGGGGACUGGAAUACUUGGUGUAGCAGUGAAAUGCGUAGAUAUCAAGUGGAACACCAGUGGCGAAGGCGAGUCCCUGGACAACUCCUGACACUGAGGCACGAAAGCUAGGGGAGCAAACAGGAUUAGAUACCCCGGUAGUCC
RNAcentral lists this ribosomal RNA (448 nucleotides) under uncultured bacterium. RNAcentral describes it as "bacterial SSU rRNA". It matches the Rfam family "Bacterial small subunit ribosomal RNA", at positions 355 to 796 of the family's 1533-position model. The record is from RNAcentral.